Molecule: ribosomal RNA, 3105 nt
Filed under: Triticum aestivum (bread wheat)
Lineage: Eukaryota; Viridiplantae; Streptophyta; Magnoliopsida; Poales; Poaceae
Description: partial small subunit ribosomal RNA
Source: RNAcentral
AUGACUCCUCCCACAUGGUAUACUGGCGCCAAAGAUGUCGAUGAAGCCAGAGAGGCGAUAUUCAGAAUUCUUCAAAACAAGGGAGAAGCAAGGGUCAUCUAUUUUCAUGGCUGGAGUGGGCUUGGGGCAUCUACCGUUCUUAGAUCCAUAGCAGAAGUUAUCCCUUCUAAGAGAACCACUCCGGAACUAUGCUUUGAUAAAAUAAUUCAUAUAGAUUGCUCGGAGUGGAAAGGUAGGAGGACGUUGCAGAGGGCAAUUGCAGAGGAGCUACAGCUUGACAGCUCGAUAAUGGCUAUACUGGAUAAACAGGACAUAGAUGAUGAUUUUAAUGGAGUUAAUGAAAUUUCAAGGGAUGAGAUAAUAACAGUGUCAAGAGAGAUCUAUCACAAUCUGAAGGACAAUAGGUUUAUGCUGAUUUUCCAUUCCCGGGGUGAUGAUGAGAUUGAUUUUUUCCCUCUUGGUGUUCCUUCAUUUGGUAAGUUCACAGAGAACAUAAUGAUAUGGACCUACAGAAGGAGGAUAUUGACCAUAACAGAACAUGAAGAACAUAAAGUAAUACAAAAACUGAGGUACACCCAUCUUUUGGCUUAUGAUAGAGAAAAGUAUUUAACAAGUGGAGAGUUGUAUGCACUACUCUGUAAAGAGACUGCCCUCAUAGUUGAUGACUAUCCAUGCAUGCGGGGACUCAAUCCAAUGAUGGUUGCUGACUGUUAUGUUUACACACUAUUCCUGCAACGUAGUUUUCACAACAAGACCAGUUCCGAUUGGGUUGGUGUUGCUUCCAAUUGUUGGAUAUGUGAUGGGAUACUGCAGAAAGACAUAACAUUAGAGAUAUGUGACACGUUGCACCGAGAUAUAAGCUGGGAGUGUGAUGAUAAUGUGCUCACAAAGUUCAAGAAAGAUUCCAAGCUUCCUUUCCUGGUUGUUAAAGAAGAUGGUGUAUAUGAAGAAGGACAAUACCGUUGGAUUUCAACCAGGUCAAGGGAUAGGGAAAUACAUGGUAUGAAAUGUUUACCUGAAGAGACAUCUUCAUUCUUCUUGGAAUUUGUAAUGUCCGAUCGGCCAGUAGCAUUACCAGAUGGUUUGUUUGAACAUUCCAACAACCUUGGUGUGCUAUUCCUCUGCUGUUGUGCCUUCAAUUUUGCAUCACCUCCUUUCUUGAAAUGCCAUAGCCUAAGAUUCCUUGGGCUGGACAACUGCACAGAUGGAAAAACAGGUGAAGGAAAGGAACAUACUGGGUGGGUUUGUCUGCAUAGCUUGUGGGUGUUGGAUCUACGUUACACUGACUGGAAUGAAAUCUUAUCACCGGCAAAGAUGCAUCUCAUGGAUAACCUCAUGGAGUUAAGCAUAGAGGGAGUCUGGUCUUGGAAAUACACAGCUUGCUUACAAGGCCAGUUACCAAAUCUUCAAAGGCUCAGGGUAAUCAAGCCAAAACGUGGACCAGAUAUUUCAAUAGAUCCAAGAAACUCCUUCAUGGACAAGACAAAGUUGGAAAUACUUGACUUAUCUGGCAACACUGAGAUGAAAAUUCUGCCAAACAGCCUAUCAACGGCAAGUAGUCUUCAAGUGCUUAUUCUGGAUGGUUGCAAUGCGCUUCAGAAUAUUGUUGUGCCUGAUGAGCUACCUGAACUGCUGAAGUCCUUCAGCUUUGAUGGAUACGGGCCAGGUUCUCAUCGGACAUCAACUUUCAAGCUACCUCUGAAACAAGAGCGCCCGUUAACCCCAGCAACCGAGGAGGGUGCCAGUAUCUCUAAUAUUUCCCUCAAAGGUUGCUCACAGUUGGGAAAUCUGUUCCUGCGUGGGUUGCCCAACCUCGUCGAGCUUGACCUAUCUGGAACUGCAAUCAAGACUCUUGAUUUUAGAACUAUGGUGUUAGAAGUCCCAAUGCUGAAGCGGCUAUUUCUGCUUGGAUGUGAGCACCUUUGUGCAAUAAUUUGGGGCAACAAUACUAAUAACUUCCGUUUGAAUUUAUUAUGCAUAGACACACGAGCUGGAACUAGCCAUCCUCAGCCAUGCAUUGACCAAAACAAAUCCUAUCAGUUGGAGGCGCAUGUCAUUCUGGUGGAUGCGAGGCUUGCUCGGUCGUUGGGGCGACUAUUACAUAAUCAUUAUGCAGCUGAGAAUCUUUAUCUUAAUAUCCAUGUCACCUCCGCUGUGUAUAGUGAGCUGAAUCAAUCCAAAGUGACUGAAAAGGAGAAGAAUAUUGACAUGUAUGGAGAUCAAGUCAGCCUGCUGGAGCUUGUUCAAGCAGACCGGUACAGUGAUGUCCAAAGCAUGGUUGGUGAUGCCCCUGCUGCAGCCUUUCCUAAGCCUCCGGCUAACAACCUGGAUAGGCAUAUCGAGAUUACAGAAGGGAGGCACGUCUUGGACAGUGGACUGGGAGUUGUAAUGAGAGAGUUUGCCGAAUCCCUGCAUGUCCAUGAUGUCUCAACUAGUGGUAGUUUGCCUAGGGGAUACAGCUGGCAGGUUCUCAGGCAGUGCCGCAUGGAGAGGUGCCCCAAGUUGGGUGAAGUCUUCUCGAGGGGAUCAGAUGAAUUUAAGGAGCUGGAGACCUUCUGGGCGUCUGAUCUCCUAAUGGCCUGCUGGAUAUGCAGUAAAGGUUACCGCAUGAUCAAUGAUGGUUCAUUCAGAAAGCUGCAGCAUCUACGGUUGCGCUCUUGCCCCAGGCUCCAGUUCGUGCUCCCUGUGUGGGUCGACUCCUUCCCAAGUUUGGAGACCCUCCACAUCAUCCACUGCGGAGACCUGAGGCAUGUAUUCGUGCUAAACGACAAAUGGUACCCAGAAGGAAUAUCCAUCCAAGUUGUAGCAUUCCCGAAGUUGACCACCAUCCACCUGCACGACCUGCCAGUGCUGCAGCAGAUCUGCGAGGUCAAGAUGGUGGCACCGAACCUCAAGACCAUCAAGAUCAGAGGGUGUUGGGGCCUGCGCCGGCUGCCGGUGGUGGGGGGCCGUAGCAGAGACAUGAAGAAGCCGACCGUAGAGAUCGAGAAAGAUGUCUGGGAUGCUCUGGAGUGGGACGACGAGGUGGCCCCUGGCCACUUCGAGGCGCCGCUGCACUCACGCUACUACAAGAAGAAACUGCCCAGGGUCUCUGUCCUCAGAUGA